Molecule: long non-coding RNA, 1577 nt
Organism: Drosophila nasuta
Lineage: Eukaryota; Metazoa; Arthropoda; Insecta; Diptera; Drosophilidae
Exons: 3
Source: RefSeq, a predicted model, not a curated record
AGUUCCCCAGCAAAUUACUUUCAAUAAAAGUGGCAGGUAAAAUUCUUUUCAGAAGCCUUUAUGAAUCGUCUCACUCACUUUUAAAAUUUAAAGAAGUAAAUCGAAAAAUAGUUUAGCAAAUAUUUUCGCAACACUUCUUAAGCUAUUACCCCAUUGCAAACAUGAACAGCUAAUGAACACAUCAAUGGCAUUUGCUAUGGCAUCAAAUAGUAGUUAGUAAAUUUGCAAAUUCAACAACUUUUGCCAACUAACUGAAAACUAACAGCGCUAAAGUGAUGAACAUAGAGGAACGAAACGUUGAAGUUGAAGUCGAAGUAGAAGUUGAAAGCAUUUCUCUUUACUAGUAUUUGAAUAAACAUUCAAAGUUCUUUAAGCAUUUUGGCAUUUACUUACGGCAGGAACUGCCGACGAACGACUUUGAGCAAACAUUGUGGAGAUGGAGAUGGAAUGGAAAGUUUGUAGCGUCUGGAUUCUUAAUUCAACAGAACACGCAAAGUUAAUAAAUUUCAAAGUGAAUAUGUUUUCACCAACAUGCACUUAGUCCGCUUGAACGGCACAGCGCUUGGACGUUGGACGUGGUCUUGGACAAGGCAACUUGAUAAAGAAGAAGAAGAAGCAGCAGCGGUAGAUGAAGCAGCAGGCGGCAGUCGGCAGUCUACGGGCUGAAUGGAAAUGUUGCUUGCGGCGUGGCUACAUUGUUUGCAACUACAAUUUUUAGCACUGCUGGAUAAUCCGGCCCUGGUCCGGCUCUAAGUCAACAAACACCAGACCAGACCAGACCAAACUGCAGAGGGAAAGGGGAAGGGGGAGUGUGCAGGGUGUGGCAUUGUGUCGUGGGCGUGCCGACAAAGCCUACGACUAUUGUGCUACAAGCUUGUAAAAAUAAAUGCGGACCUAAGGCUGCAGCAAGUGUCAGUCGAACCUGUGCCACACAGACCAACUUACUCCUUCUCUUCCCCUCUACCUCUCUCCUUGUCUCUUUGUAGAGGGCCAACCACAAGGCCAAGUCGUCUCCGUCUCGCCUUGGCCAGAUUGAGUCACACAACGUGGACACAACGAUGCGGUUUCGGUUUUGUUGAUAUAAUUUGAAUUUUAGGGUGUAAUUACGGCCAUAAAUGUAUUUGACUUUUACACAACAUCUCUUCUACCCCUCUGGCCACCCCCUCUCUCAUCCCCUUCCAUGGCCACCCAAGCAGCAUCGUCUGAGGCAUUUUGCAACAUUUUUUGGGGCGGUUGCCGUGCGCUUUUUAUAUGCAACUCUUAACUCUUAACAUGCCACAGAAACUGCUAACAAACAAAGUGCCAGCUGAAGCUGUGAACUCAACUCCAGUCCAGUUGAAAGUUAUACACUGCGUUUGCCCAGACGGACCUUUUAAUUUGCAUUUAUUGGUGCAGUCAUAAAACUGAAUGAUGCCCAGAAUCAUAAUGAUCAUGAUCUGCUCGACGAACAUUGUAAGCAAACAACAAGGAAGCUUUGACAAUGCUGAGAGUGAACGACUAAACAACACACUUUCUGUGAGACAUUAAAAUCUUCAUAAGUACAUAUUCAAAUAUCUUGUGAAAAUUGAAAAAUUUAG